UCAUGGGAAAUUUCAUUCUAGAUUUUAGAGAGUCAGCAGCCAAGCAACACAACUGAACUCGAUUAGGCAAAAUCCGGACAUAAAAAAUGCUAUAAAACUGACAGGUAACAAGUUCUUCAAAAGAGAUAAGCACAAUUUAAGCACCUAACACUGGUUCAAGGAGCAACUACAACCCUUCCAGCAACUUGAUCCAGAUCACGCCGUCCCUGGGAGGUAAUCAUCCUUCCCCUGUAACGCAAAAAGAAAAACAAAAAACAAAAAAGUUGACCUGAGAUAUUAUGCACAAUUAUAGGGACUAAAAACUCAUUUGGUUGCUUUUCCCAUUAAAUAUUAUCAACCAAGUGCAUCUGGUGUAACUAGAGUAUUUCCAACCUAUUCUGGCCAUAUACACGUCAAUGCUGAAGUACCCAUUGUGCAAUAUGUUUUGAAGUUAAAAUAAAGAAGCAAUCAGAAUGUAUAUAUACGGAAAAAAUAAGGUUUGCACUAUAUAAUCUGAGUACCAGAGCUAGUAGCCUACAAAUCCCUGGACUGGAAGGAAAAAACCAGAGUCCCAAGUUGAACAUCAUUUGGGAGAGUUUGAUGCAGAAUUUAGAGUGAAACAGUGAGUUCACUAAAAGAUAAGCCAAAAUAUAUUUUAAAAAGAGAAUAACCGAAUAAAUAAAAAAUGAUUUCAAAUAAAGGUUUGAAGCUGAAGCAGCAACCAACGGAUAAGUAGUACCAUCAGCAACAAAAAUAGCAGCAAAAAAAAAAUCAUAUUGUAGUAUGACAUAGUUCAGUAUUUUUUUUCAUUAUUAAGUCAUGAAGAACUCACGAAUGGUCCACAAAAUCAUGGAAAUAAACAUCUCGUAGACAAUUCAAUUUUCCCAGAUAUAUCAGAUAAGCACUAAACCAGAAAUAAGUGAAUACAAUUGCAGCUUUUCAACAGUCACAGAAUACUGAAAACUGUCAGGCAAUGGUAAAAACAUUGAUAGAUCUUAAUAACAGUGACAUUUCGGCCAAUAGAAUCAUUAUGCAACAUAUAGCAUCUUAUGAACAGUGUAAAUGACUACAUAUAAUAGUUCAUACUUCAUACCAAAUCAUAAUUAAUGAUUAUAUUGCUAACUUCAAUAAUCACCACGAUUGAAACCUUGGCCCAUAAUAGGAAAAGGUUGUGGUUUGAAGAGACCAAAGUAAUCUUCUAAAUCAUGAAAUGACUGGGAAUAUAUGAUAAUUUGGCCCUGAAGAAAACUUGUAGCAAUAAAGAAACCAAUCCUCACCCUUUAGCAUCAAAAUCAAUAAUGUCCAUCUCCUGCAACUGUUGCAGAAUGUGCCUAGCUAUUGCCCCACUGCUUUUGCAGAAAUG
RNAcentral lists this long non-coding RNA (1342 nucleotides) under Elaeis guineensis (African oil palm). Its description in RNAcentral is "long non-coding RNA (EGUI_LNC003140)". The record is from RNAcentral. Lineage: Eukaryota; Viridiplantae; Streptophyta; Magnoliopsida; Arecales; Arecaceae.